CGGUGGUGGAGGCGGCGGCGGUGGAGGCUGCUAAAUACUCUCCAAGGAUUGAGCUGGCCACGAUCUUAGCACUGUUUUGGAACUAGUAAGUAGAAUCUCGUAGAAUCUAUUCAGCAAUUCUAUGUACUUCAGGUACUAUAGUGAUUCAGGUAAAAUCCAAAAAAAAGGGAAACAUCCACUUACAAUACAACGUUUUGGGCUCUCUUCUCUUGUC
Selaginella moellendorffii is the source of this 214-nucleotide long non-coding RNA. RefSeq lists it as uncharacterized. The record is from RefSeq and is a predicted model, not a curated record. The transcript has 2 exons. Lineage: Eukaryota; Viridiplantae; Streptophyta; Lycopodiopsida; Selaginellales; Selaginellaceae.